Molecule: long non-coding RNA, 440 nt
Filed under: Dermacentor andersoni
Lineage: Eukaryota; Metazoa; Arthropoda; Arachnida; Ixodida; Ixodidae
Description: uncharacterized LOC126527744
Source: RNAcentral
GCCUGAAUUUCGGAUCACAAACUUGGUGGAUGAGUGGCAGUACAAGGCCUGGCUCACCUUCACGGAUUCCACUGGGCGCCAAUGCGUUGGUCAGUACUGCCACCCGGAUUCACCGCGGCCCGGUUCCUGGUUCAACGGCCGCGUGCUGUCGUUUUCGAAGGUCAAGCUCUUCUCCAACAAGAAAAAGAUCCCGAACCCGCCUCCGAUCACUCUGAGGUGUUACCGCACUUACCACAUCCAAGUGAAUGUUGGGAUUGUGGACGAUAACGGAUACAUCGUCAGCGCAUCGGUCGUCCGGCAAUCUGUUGGUGCCGACUUCAUUGCCGUCACCAGUAGCAUUACUAGGCGUCCAGUCAACAGCGGUACAAGACAGGCGCGCUGACUGAAGUUCUCAAGGCUGUUUAUGUAAUAACAGUAAUAAAUAAAUAUUUAUUUGUGAG